UUACGGUCAAAUCACGCUGAAACACCGGUUCUCGUACGAUUAAGCAGCGUAGAGCCAGGUCAGUACUUAGAUGGGGGACCGCUUGGGAACACCUGGUACUGUAAG
This is a non-coding RNA of Acanthosepion pharaonis, 105 nucleotides long. The record is from the annotation of a GenBank genome assembly. NCBI's taxonomy places the organism in Eukaryota, Metazoa, Mollusca, Cephalopoda, Sepiida, Sepiidae.